GCUCUUUUCACAAUCACGUGCCGUGAUGAC
RNAcentral lists this non-coding RNA (30 nucleotides) under Mus musculus (house mouse). Lineage: Eukaryota; Metazoa; Chordata; Mammalia; Rodentia; Muridae. The record is from RNAcentral.